RNAcentral lists this ribosomal RNA (348 nucleotides) under Pseudomonas sp. RNAcentral describes it as "partial 16S ribosomal RNA". It matches the Rfam family "Bacterial small subunit ribosomal RNA", at positions 91 to 449 of the family's 1533-position model. The record is from RNAcentral. Lineage: Bacteria; Pseudomonadati; Pseudomonadota; Gammaproteobacteria; Pseudomonadales; Pseudomonadaceae.
UUCRGCGUCGGAUGGGUUUGUUAUGCCUAGGAAUCUGCCUUUAGUUGGUACAACGKUUCGAAAGGAAGGWUAAUAUYGCAUACGCCUACGGGAGAAAGCAGUGGACCUUCGGSCCUUGCCYAUUCAUAUGAGUUUUUGUCGGUUAGCUAGUUGGUGAGGUAAUGGCUCACCAAGGCGACGAUCCGUAACUGGYCUGAGAGGAUGAUCAGUCACACUGUAACUGAGACACGGUCCAGACUCCUACGGGAGGCAGCAGUGAUGUAUAUUGUAUUAUGUUCGAAAUUUWUCCCAGCAUUCCCGGUUUGURGAGAAGUCUUGGGUGUGUUAAGCUCUUUAAGUUGGGWGGAA